RNAcentral lists this long non-coding RNA (620 nucleotides) under Pongo abelii (Sumatran orangutan). RNAcentral's name for it is "lincRNA". The record is from RNAcentral. Lineage: Eukaryota; Metazoa; Chordata; Mammalia; Primates; Hominidae.
UGCGCUUUUAACUGCUUGUGGUUGACUGGCAGCUCGAGCGAGCUCUGUGUAUUCCAACCCGGCGUUAAGAACCCUUCAUUAGCUUUUCUUCCCGACGCUGCUUAUUUAUCUAUCGGUAGCAUGACGGGUAAUUGACGCCCUCGGAUGGCUUUGAGGUCGCCAUUUUUGGUUGGUGCCUUUGUCAUGGUGUCAGGACUGGGAUAUCAUCUGGGACACAUUACCCCACAGGUAUCCUGUUGGACCUCAACGAGGAAGUUGGCAACAGAGGAACCAGGAGAUGAGAGAGAUCGAUACCUACAGCCUCUGAGAGCCGGUAUUCCAACGCCACAAGACGCCUUAUGUCGUGAGCAGUUGACAACAGAGACCCAGCACUUACUGCAACCGGAAGGAGCAGUUCCUCCCUCGCUCGCGCAGCCGCUCUUCCCCGCCACUCCCUGGGUGCCUGCCAGCACCUUCCCAGCAAGCCCUGCGUAUAUUUGCAUAUCAACUCACGUCUUUUUCUUCUAACUAAAAAUCGAAAGCACAAAUUCUAGAUUCUCCUUGUGAAGUCUUCCUUUCACUUCAGAAGAAAUGGAAUUCGCUCUUCAACUUCAGGAAGUUGAAAUAAAGAGUUGCUUGGA